This is a long non-coding RNA of Megalopta genalis, 1249 nucleotides long. RefSeq lists it as uncharacterized. The record is from RefSeq and is a predicted model, not a curated record. NCBI's taxonomy places the organism in Eukaryota, Metazoa, Arthropoda, Insecta, Hymenoptera, Halictidae.
UUUACAAGCUGAGGAACAAUUGAAGAGAAUUUACUAUAUAUUACAGGCGGUUUGAUGAUACCGUUUGAUUUGUUAUCAGUAGCUUAUGUUCCUUUUAAUUCAGAGAGUCUUUCGUAGGCGUUACAAAGUGGUAUAUCCUGUAGCCAUUUGUUGCAGUGUGGUUUACAGAUAUCACUAUUUUCAUCAUUUUAUUCAUUCAUUUUUUUUGUUUUCAGAUUUACGAAGUUUUAUAGGUUUUACUGCAUUCCAGUCUUAAUUAUUUAAAUGAUCAGAGCAUGUUUCUAUUCAGUCUAUCGUAUCGGUUGAACAGGGAUUAAUCACUUUCCUUUGAUUAUCUUCUGCAGUUCUGUUAGCUGGUUUCCAUUACAUGUUGACUUGUCUUGACGUUCAACGAUUCUUGCAUGGCGCUGUUCCCUGCGAGAUAUCUGCGAGUUCCCGCGAGGCCAAGCUAUUUAUCUUAUUAUCGGACUGAGAUGCGAAGAGCAAUUGUAACACACCAACGACACACUCGGUAACAAGAGCAGAUCGGCGUUUGAAAGCUGUGACAUUCCUCUCUCCGGUAGUAUCAAUUUUGGUUCAACUGGUUGAUAAAUAGCAAUGUUAUAACAGUUCUCUCCAAACAACUUUCUUGUCGAUGUUGAAAUAUGAGCAAAAAUCGUAGCGUGUUAAUCAUUCCAAAGAAGUCGUUGAAGCCGUUAGAUAUGUUCCUAACUUCCUGAAAUCAAUUGUUACGGGUGACGAAACAUGGUGCUUUCAGUACGACCCAGAAAUCAAGCGUCAAAGUGCGGAAUGGAAGUCGAAAGAGUCACCACAAGCCAAAAAAACACGGAAAGUUCCAUCAAAAAUCAAGACAAUGCUCAUUAGAUUCUUCGAUAGCAUAGAAAUUAUCCACAGGGAAUUUAUUCCAACUGGCCAAACAAUAACUGGCGCAUAUUAUCUUGAAGUUUUGAAGCGUUUGAUGACCAGAAUCCGACGUAUUCAGAUCCAGAGACCUGGUGUCUGUUGCACGAUGAUGCACCGAGUCACACCUCGCUCAUUGUUCGUCAAUUUUUGGCUCGAAAUCAAGUCCGCGUGUUGAGAAUCAUCCACCGUAUUCGCCUGAUUUGGCCCCAUGUGACUUCUCCCUAUUCCCAAAAUUGAAAUUGAAGUUGAAAGGAUGUUUUUUUUCAUGACAUUUCGACCAUCAAAAUAGCUACGACACGAGCGCUAGAGGCAAUUCCACAAAAUAAGCUAGCACACGCAUUUGAAU